This is a long non-coding RNA of Felis catus (domestic cat), 1418 nucleotides long. RefSeq lists it as uncharacterized. NCBI's taxonomy places the organism in Eukaryota, Metazoa, Chordata, Mammalia, Carnivora, Felidae. The record is from RefSeq and is a predicted model, not a curated record. The transcript has 6 exons.
CAUCACUGGCUGGAACCUUCAAGGUUGCAAUCAUUCUUGUCUCCCUGCCGGGCGGAACGUUGGUGUGGCGUUCCCUGCAGAGUUUAAAAGGCAGGGAAGAAGAGCUUACAAGCCCCGUGGGGCCAGGGGCCACGUCUAUCUUGGUCUCCUCCGUAGCCAUAGUUCUCGCUACAAUGUCCAGCAUUUAGUGAUGUAAUAUUUAAUAAACAUAGGCGCCUUACCCAGCAAGGAGAGGACUACGGACAUGUCACAGAGUAUCAAGAAGGGGCCCGGGCGAGUGUUCCGGAUUACCACAAAGACCUCAGUGUGCCGUGAGUUAAGAUGGAGCCUGCAUUUUCAACAUUUGCAACAGAUGGAAGAGAGCUUGUGUGGCCAACAGGCCGGAGGCACACGGCACACGGAGCCGGGCUCUGCCAUCGAUUCGUCGUGUCUGUUAGGAGCGGCCUUCUCCCCCUCCGGCUGAUUUCGGGCAUGUGGGAAUACUGCAAGGCAUGGCCAGACCUUCUGAUUUUAAAAGAUAAGGAAACCGAGGUUCAAGGCCACAUACCUAGGCCUACACUGGCUGCAUGGUCCACAAGUACGGUCUUAGGAGUUUUGCGCUUUGGAAUUUAGCCUGCAGCAGAGAUGAAGAGGAGGAAGAAGACCCACCUAAAAGAGUUCUUCAGCUUCAGAAAGUUUGAAAAGCAUAAUUACAUUGAGACUCUGUUAGGGGUGGGCGUGUAGUCAAGAUCUCCUAGAAGACGGCUAGAAACCUAAGGCCUUCAAGAAGUAGAUGUGUUCCUCCCCUUCUCGGUCUCCCUCCGCCGGCUGGGCGCAGAAGACAGUGAGGCCCCAGGGGAUAAAUGAGCCACAAGAUGGAAGGAGGUUGGGUCCAUGAAUCAGCUCAUGGAAGAAGGUCACUUACCAACCCGAAACAUGUGCCUUGGUUUGUGAGAAAUAAAUGAGCCAUUGUAUGUUUGGGUUCUCAUUGUUCCAGCAGCCAACGGCAUCCUAACUAAUAAAUCUGGCUUGCUCAUCAUCUGUUUCUGCCCACCAGCUCGUUUUAAUCUGUUUUCUCUCCGUUCUGCAUUACCUUGGAGAAGCAGGCUCUUUUAUGGCCAGGGCCUCCAGUUUUUCUCCUCUUCUCCCCAACUGUGGGCGAACACUUUCCAUGCAGCCACCUCGAGUCAAUCUGCACGCUUCACGUAGGAACUUGUCCAGAGGAAGUCCCCAACUAAUCUGUCCUCUUCCUGCUCUGUGGGGCAGAGCUGAGCCUCAGAGAUCAGCCAGCAUGCUUCCUGAGCCUCUCUCUUUACUUAUGUGUGUCCCUUCUCGAAAGCUUUAAAUGACAUUAAUGAGGUGCCUGGGUGGCUCAGUCAGUUAAGCCUCCGACUUCGGCUCAGGUCACGAUCUUACAGUUCAUGAGUUCGAGCCCUGCA